Long non-coding RNA from Tympanuchus pallidicinctus (lesser prairie-chicken), 481 nucleotides. RefSeq lists it as uncharacterized. The transcript is spliced from 3 exons. NCBI's taxonomy places the organism in Eukaryota, Metazoa, Chordata, Aves, Galliformes, Phasianidae. The record is from RefSeq and is a predicted model, not a curated record.
UCAAACAAACACCAUCCUCCUUCGGUCUUUGAGGAUUUGGGGCACACAAUCCACAGCUGAGCCAUGAAGAUCCUCUGCGUGCUCUUCGCUGUUCUCCUCUUCCUCUUCCAGGCUGCUCCAGCUUACAGCCAAGAAUCUGCUGACACCUUAGCAUGCCGGCAGAGCCAUGGCUCCUGCUCUUUUGUUGCAUGCCCUGCUCCUUCCGUUGACAUUGGAACCUGCCGUGAUGGGAAGCUGAAAUGCUGCAGAUGGAGACCCAGCUCCUAAAUCUGAGACCUCACUGACCAUGCGGAUAAGAGCCCUGGGAAUCUCCUGCCUAAUGACAUCACAGGAUCCUUGAACUUUGAUGCAAACCCAAGGAGCCUUUCCCAAUGGAGUGAAGAGUCCUGGGAGCACGAGAAGAUCUGAGGAGGAAUUCUUGUACCUCAGAUAGAGAUUUGCAGCUUCAUUUCUAAUAAAAACAAUUCUAAGUGAAACCACA